AAUCAACGCUGGCGGCGUGCCUCAGACAUGCAAGUCGAACGCUGCUGUUCGCCUUCGGGUGGACAGUGGAGUGGCGCACGGGUGAGUAACACGUAGGUAAUCUACCUUUGGGUGGGGAAUAACAGCCGGAAACGGCUGCUAAUACCGCAUAAUGCAGCGGCACCACAUGGUGACAGUUGUUAAAGCGGGGGAUCGUAAGACCUCGCGCCUAAAGAGGAGCCNGCGGCAGAUUAGCUAGUUGGUAGGGUAACGGCCUACCAAGGCUACGAUCUGUAGCCGGCCUGAGAGGGCGGUCGGCCACACUGACACUGACAUACGGGUCAGACUCCUACGGGAGCAGCAGUCGGGAAUUUUGGGCAAUGGGCGCAAGCCUGACCCAGCAACGCCGCGUGAAGGAUGAAGUAUUUCGUAUGUAACUUCACAAGAAUGGGAAGAAUAAGUAGAGACUAAUACCCUCUACGAUGACGGUACC
RNAcentral lists this ribosomal RNA (472 nucleotides) under uncultured bacterium. Its description in RNAcentral is "bacterial SSU rRNA". It matches the Rfam family "Bacterial small subunit ribosomal RNA", at positions 32 to 479 of the family's 1533-position model. The record is from RNAcentral.